RNAcentral lists this ribosomal RNA (505 nucleotides) under uncultured bacterium. RNAcentral describes it as "bacterial SSU rRNA". It matches the Rfam family "Bacterial small subunit ribosomal RNA", at positions 28 to 502 of the family's 1533-position model. The record is from RNAcentral.
GAUGAACGCUAGCGACAGGCCUAACACAUGCAAGUCGAGGGGCAUCGGGGUGUAGCAAUACGCUGCCGGCGACCGGCGGAUGGGUGAGUAACGCGUAUGCAACCUGCCUUCAGCAGGGGGAUAGCCCCGUUGAAAAGACGGAUUAAUACCCCGUAACACAGGGGCUCCGCAUGGAGAUUAUUGUUAAAGGGAUGCUUCCUUCGGGGAGUAUUCCGGCUGAAGAUGGGCAUGCGUUCCAUUAGGUAGUUGGUUGAGGUAACGGCUCACCAAGCCUGCGAUGGAUAGGGGAACUGAGAGGUUGGUCCCCCCACACUGGUACUGAGACACGGACCAGACUCCUACGGGAGGCAGCAGUGAGGAAUCUUGGUCAAUGGACGGAAGUCUGAACCAGCCAUGUCGCGUGAAGGAGGACGGCCCUAAGGGUUGUAAACUUCUUUUGCAGGGGAAUAAAGUAUUCCACGAGAUGGGAUAUUGCAAGUACGCUGCGAAUAAGGAUCGGCUAACU